RNAcentral lists this microRNA precursor (156 nucleotides) under Amborella trichopoda. RNAcentral describes it as "miR397a stem-loop (atr-MIR397a)". Its record names the gene atr-MIR397a. The record is from miRBase by way of RNAcentral. Lineage: Eukaryota; Viridiplantae; Streptophyta; Magnoliopsida; Amborellales; Amborellaceae.
AACCAAUUUCAUGCUUGAGGAGGCCCAAUGGGGAGAAAAACCAUACACAUCCUUGAGUGCAGCGUUGAUGAACCCAAAACCCUAAUUUCAGCAGCGCUGUACUCAAUGAUGCCUUUGGUAUUUCAUGUAAUUUUUCUCUUAUUCCUUUUUUUGGUU